Molecule: ribosomal RNA, 812 nt
Filed under: uncultured Mycobacterium sp.
Lineage: Bacteria; Bacillati; Actinomycetota; Actinomycetes; Mycobacteriales; Mycobacteriaceae
Description: bacterial SSU rRNA
Rfam family: Bacterial small subunit ribosomal RNA
Source: RNAcentral
GAAUUACUGGGCGUAAAGAGCUCGUAGGUGGUUUGUCGCGUUGUUCGUGAAAUCUCACGGCUUAACUGUGAGCGUGCGGGCGAUACGGGCAGACUAGAGUACUGCAGGGGAGACUGGAAUUCCUGGUGUAGCGGUGGAAUGCGCAGAUAUCAGGAGGAACACCGGUGGCGAAGGCGGGUCUCUGGGCAGUAACUGACGCUGAGGAGCGAAAGCGUGGGGAGCGAACAGGAUUAGAUACCCUGGUAGUCCACGCCGUAAACGGUGGGUACUAGGUGUGGGUUUCCUUCCUUGGGAUCCGUGCCGUAGCUAACGCAUUAAGUACCCCGCCUGGGGAGUACGGCCGCAAGGCUAAAACUCAAAGGAAUUGACGGGGGCCCGCACAAGCGGCGGAGCAUGUGGAUUAAUUCGAUGCAACGCGAAGAACCUUACCUGGGUUUGACAUGCACAGGACGCGUCUAGAGAUAGGCGUUCCCUUGUGGCCUGUGUGCAGGUGGUGCAUGGCUGUCGUCAGCUCGUGUCGUGAGGUGUUGGGUUAAGUCCCGCAACGAGCGCAACCCUUGUCUCAUGUUGCCAGCGGGUAAUGCCGGGGACUCGUGAGAGACUGCCGGGGUCAACUCGGAGGAAGGUGGGGAUGACGUCAAGUCAUCAUGCCCCUUAUGUCCAGGGCUUCACACAUGCUACAAUGGCCGGUACAAAGGGCUGCGAUGCCGUAAGGUUAAGCGAAUCCUUUUAAAGCCGGUCUCAGUUCGGAUUGGGGUCUGCAACUCGACCCCAUGAAGUCGGAGUCGCUAGUAAUCGCAGAUCAGCAACGC